UGGCUAGUUGCUCCCAGUAGUCGUGUGGUUUGAAGGAAUACACAGGAUCUCCUAAUAACUCUUCUAAAUUUAUCGAUCAAAGUAAAGGCCGGUCGAAGCAGAGAUUGACAGCUAAAGCAUGGUGGUUAUUGGAGAUAGAAGUCGACGGUCAAUGUAUGGGUCGGUGGCCGACCCUUAGGUCAACUACGAUCAUGGUUAGACAGUGUCUUCAGUUCGGACACUAGAGAUUUUCUAUCCAUAAUACUAUUUAAUUACUCAUCAGCUACUGCAACAAACUAUUUGACAAUAUUACGACUCGCAAAGAGCCCAAAAAGAACCUGUUAAAAUCUUGAAUCCGAUGAGGAGGAAGGAUGGAGAAGGGCCAACAAGAAUGGAGGUGAGGCGGUG
Molecule: long non-coding RNA, 387 nt
Filed under: Elaeis guineensis (African oil palm)
Lineage: Eukaryota; Viridiplantae; Streptophyta; Magnoliopsida; Arecales; Arecaceae
Description: long non-coding RNA (EGUI_LNC007170)
Source: RNAcentral